UCUAAGUAUAACCUGCCAGACAGGGAAACUGCGUACGGCUCAUUACACCAGCCUUAAUUUACUUGACCUUGACAACCUACUUGGAUAACUGUGGUAAUUCUAGAGCUAAUACAUGCACCAAAGCUCCGAUCCUCGCGGAGAGGAGCGCAUUUGUUCGCCACAAAACCAAGCGCCCAUCUGGGCGUCCAGUGCUGAACCAGAACAACUCAAACUGAUCGCACGGUCUUGUACCGGCGACGUGUCUUUCAAGUGUCUGCCUUAUCAACUUUCGAUGGUAGUGUACCUGACUACCAUGGUUGUGACGGGUAACGGAGGAUAAGGGUUCGACUCCGGAGAAGGGGCCUGAGAAAUGGCCACUACGUCUAAGGAUGGCAGCAGGCGCGCAAAUUACCCA
RNAcentral lists this ribosomal RNA (394 nucleotides) under unidentified nematode Sourhope farm. Its description in RNAcentral is "SSU rRNA". It matches the Rfam family "Eukaryotic small subunit ribosomal RNA", at positions 58 to 447 of the family's 1831-position model. Lineage: Eukaryota; Metazoa; Nematoda. The record is from RNAcentral.